Long non-coding RNA from Camelus dromedarius (Arabian camel), 269 nucleotides. RefSeq lists it as uncharacterized. The record is from RefSeq and is a predicted model, not a curated record. NCBI's taxonomy places the organism in Eukaryota, Metazoa, Chordata, Mammalia, Artiodactyla, Camelidae. The transcript is spliced from 3 exons.
CCCCCAUCAACGUCUCCACCGCCAAGUCCAGGAGAAGAGAGGCCCCAUUCUGCACAUGUCAUGAACACAAAUCAGGUCGAGCUCCAUGGGCACAGGGACCUUAUCUACCCACUGCCCUCAGAUUCUGGGACAGAAAGUGAUGCUCAGGAACUAUGUGUGGGAUGCACGAGUCUGUCCCUGCAGUUCCGAGUCGUCUUCCUUAUGAAAUCCCCACCGAUGAGAUGCCAUCUCCAACGUCCAGCUUUGGAUUCUUUGAGGCGGAGGGUGAG